This 486-nucleotide ribosomal RNA is filed under the name uncultured bacterium. RNAcentral's name for it is "bacterial SSU rRNA". It matches the Rfam family "Bacterial small subunit ribosomal RNA", at positions 33 to 507 of the family's 1533-position model. The record is from RNAcentral.
GACGACGCUGGCGGCGUGGAUUAGGCAUGCAAGUCGAACGGUAUCAUCCUUUCGGGGGUGAGAGAGUGGCGAACUGGUGAGUAACACGUAGGUUAUCUACCCUCAAGACGGGACAACCCAGGGAAACUUGGGCUAAUACCGGAUGUGAGCAACUUUUAGUUGUUUGAAAGGUGGCGUAAGCUGUCGCUUGGGGAUGAGCCUGCGUCCUAUUAGUUAGUUGGUGAGGUAACGGCUCACCUAGGCAAUGAUAGGUAGGCGGCCUUAACGGGUGGUCGCCCACACUGGGGAUUGAGAUACGGCCCAGACUCCUACGGGAGGCAGCAGUCGAGAAUAGUCUACAAUGGUCGGAAGACUGAUAGUGCGACGCCGCGUGAACGAUGAAUCCCUUCGGGGUGUAAAGUUCUUUUAUAUGUGAGCAGUGCUUCUUAUAUUAACAGUAUGGGGAGAGAGAUAUUAGCAUAUGAAUAAGCAACGGCUAACUCCGUG